RNAcentral lists this ribosomal RNA (453 nucleotides) under uncultured Desulfitobacterium sp. Its description in RNAcentral is "bacterial SSU rRNA". It matches the Rfam family "Bacterial small subunit ribosomal RNA", at positions 929 to 1382 of the family's 1533-position model. Lineage: Bacteria; Bacillati; Bacillota; Clostridia; Eubacteriales; Desulfitobacteriaceae. The record is from RNAcentral.
GCGGUGGAGCAUGUGGUUUAAUUCGACGCAACGCGAAGAACCUUACCAAGGCUUGACAUCCUACGAACCUUAAGGAAACUUAGGGUGCCCUUCGGGGAGCGUAGAGACAGGUGGUGCAUGGUUGUCGUCAGCUCGUGUCGUGAGAUGUUGGGUUAAGUCCCGCAACGAGCGCAACCCCUAUCUUUAGUUGCUAACAUUUAAGGUGAGCACUCUAGAGAGACUGCCGGUGACAAACCGGAGGAAGGUGGGAUGACGUCAAAUCAUCAUGCCCCUUAUGUCUUGGGCUACACACGUGCUACAAUGGCCGGUACAGACGGAAGCGAAGCCGCGAGGUGAAGCAAAUCCGAGAAAGCCGGUCUCAGUUCGGAUUGUUCUCUGCAACUCGAGAGCAUGAAGUCGGAAUCGCUAGUAAUCGCAGGUCAGCACACUGCGGUGAAUACGUUCCCGGGCCUU